GACGAACGCGGGCGGCGUGCUUAACACAUGCAAUUCGAGCGGAAAGGCCCUGCUUGCAGGGUACUCGAGUGGCGAACGGGUGAGUAACACGUGGGUGAUCUGCCCUGCACUUCGGGAUAAGCUUGGGAAACUGGGUCUAAUACCGGAUAGGAACCAUCUUUAGUGUGGUGGUUGGAAAGUUUUUUCGGUGUAGGAUGAGCUCGCGGCCUAUCAGCUUGUUGGUGGGGUAAUGGCCUACCAAGGCGGCGACGGGUAGCCGGCCUGAGAGGGUGUACGGCCACAUUGGAACGGAGAGACGGGCCAGAGUCCUACGGGAGGCAGCAGUGGGGAAUAUUGCACAAUGGGCGCAAGCCUGAUGCAGGGACGCCGCGUGGGGGAUGAAGGCCUUCGGGUUGUAAAAUCAUAUCGCUAGGGAAGAAGCUUUGUUGUGACGGUACCUAGAGAAGAAGCACCGGCUAACUACGUG
This 466-nucleotide ribosomal RNA is filed under the name uncultured bacterium. RNAcentral describes it as "partial 16S ribosomal RNA". It matches the Rfam family "Bacterial small subunit ribosomal RNA", at positions 28 to 507 of the family's 1533-position model. The record is from RNAcentral.